GGCAGCAAAAGAAUGUAACAAUGAGAAAGGAGCAAGUUCGUAAGCCAAAGGCAAAGAAGAAAAGCCAGAAAAAACAGGAGGAAUAAAAACAGAAGUUACAUGAUAAAGGCAAGAGAAUCUAAGGAUAAGUUGGAAUGUGAGCAUCGUGUGGAAGUUACCAGAAGAAUACAAGGUAGCAGAGUUCCUAACUCCAAGAACUUGCUCUGCAUGGGAAGGACAGGUGUAGGCUGCCAUUUCCACUUGGGUUAAUGAAGAACAGAAGAAGAGGAUAGAGCAGCAUCAGUGUAAUGUAGUGACAGAAAUGGGCUGAGGGAUCCCGUCAGGGAAGGUGUAUGAUCUCAGUCUCUG
Gymnogyps californianus (California condor) is the source of this 348-nucleotide long non-coding RNA. RefSeq lists it as uncharacterized. The transcript is spliced from 3 exons. NCBI's taxonomy places the organism in Eukaryota, Metazoa, Chordata, Aves, Accipitriformes, Cathartidae. The record is from RefSeq and is a predicted model, not a curated record.